UCGAGAAUCUUCCACAAUGGGCGAAAGCCUGAUGGAGCGACGCCGCGUGACUGAUGAAGUCCUUCGGGACGUAAAGGUCUUUUAUAGGGGAGAAAGCCGGAUUUAUCCGGAUUGAUAGUACCCUAAGAAUAAGAGGUUGCUAAACUCGUGCCAGCAGCAGCGGUAAUACGAGUGCCUCGAGCGUUAUCCGGAAUUAUUGGGCGUAAAGGGUGUGUAGGCGGUUUUGUUAGUCCUUUGUUAAAACCUACGGCUUAACCGUAGAUGUGCGAAGGAAACGGCAAGACUGGAGAAUGUGAGGGGUCUGCGGAACUCAUGGUGUAGGGGUGAAAUCCGUUAAUAUCAUGGGGAACACCAAAGGCGAAGGCAGCAGACUGGCACAUUUCUGACGCUGAAACACGAA
Molecule: ribosomal RNA, 400 nt
Filed under: uncultured bacterium
Lineage: Bacteria
Description: bacterial SSU rRNA
Rfam family: Bacterial small subunit ribosomal RNA
Source: RNAcentral